UAAUGAUGGCGGCGCUGUCUCCAGCAGAGACUCAGUGAAAUCGAAAUCGCAGUGAAGAUGCUGUGUACCCGCGGCUAGACGGAAAGACCCCGUGAACCUUUACUACAGCUUUACAUUGAACUUUGACCUUACCUGUGUAGGAUAGGUGGGAGGCUUUGAAGCAGGCACGCCAGUGUCUGUGGAGCCAUCCUUGAAAUACCACCCUGGUAAUGUUGGGGUUCUAACUCAAGCUUAACAGAGCUGAGGACAAUGUAUGGUGGGUAGUUUGACUGGGGCGGUCUCCUCCUAAAGAGUAACGGAGGAGUACGAAGGUGCGCUCAGAACGGUCGGAAAUCGUUCGAAGAGUAUAAAGGCAAAAGCGCGCUUAACUGCGAGACCCACAAGUCGAGCAGAUACGAAAGUAGGUCUUAGUGAUCCGGUGGUUCUG
This 427-nucleotide ribosomal RNA is filed under the name Escherichia coli. RNAcentral describes it as "partial 23S ribosomal RNA". It matches the Rfam family "Bacterial large subunit ribosomal RNA", at positions 2002 to 2431 of the family's 2925-position model. The record is from RNAcentral. Lineage: Bacteria; Pseudomonadati; Pseudomonadota; Gammaproteobacteria; Enterobacterales; Enterobacteriaceae. RNAcentral also lists the same sequence under 2 other names.